GAGAGGAAGGUCCCCCACACUGGUACUGAGACACGGACCAGACUCCUACGGGAGGCAGCAGUGAGGAAUAUUGGUCAAUGGGCGAGAGCCUGAACCAGCCAAGUCGCGUGAGGGACGACGGCCCUACGGGUUGUAAACCUCUUUUGCCGGGGGACAAACGGCGGCACGCGUGCCGUCCUGAGGGUACCCGGAGAAAAAGCAUCGGCUAACUCCGUGCCAGCAGCCGCGGUAAUACGGAGGAUGCGAGCGUUAUCCGGAUUUAUUGGGUUUAAAGGGUGCGUAGGCGGGAUGCCAAGUCAGCGGUCAAAUACGGGGGCUCAACCUGCGUCCGCCGUUGAAACUGGCGUUCUUGAGUGGGCGAGAAGUACGCGGAAUGCGUGGUGUAGCGGUGAAAUGCAUAGAUAUCACGCAGAACCCCGAUUGCGAAGGCAGCGUACCGGCGCCCGACUGACGCUGAAGCACGAAAGCGUGGGUAUCGAACAGGAUUAGAUACCCUGGU
RNAcentral lists this ribosomal RNA (499 nucleotides) under uncultured bacterium. RNAcentral describes it as "bacterial SSU rRNA". It matches the Rfam family "Bacterial small subunit ribosomal RNA", at positions 294 to 791 of the family's 1533-position model. The record is from RNAcentral.